Molecule: ribosomal RNA, 481 nt
Filed under: uncultured bacterium
Lineage: Bacteria
Description: partial 16S ribosomal RNA
Rfam family: Bacterial small subunit ribosomal RNA
Source: RNAcentral
GAUGAACGCUGGCGGCGUGCUUAACACAUGCAAGUCGAACGAAGCACUUUAUUUGAUUUCCUUCGGGACUGAUUAUUUUGUGACUGAGUGGCGGACGGGUGAGUAACGCGUUGGUAACCUGCCUUGUACAGGGGGAUCACAGUUGGAAACGGCUGCUAAUACCGCAUAAGCGCCAGGCAUCGCAUGAAGCAGGGUGGAAAAGUCCGGUGGUAUAAGAUGGACCCGCGUUGGAUUAGCUAGUUGGUGAGGUAACGGCCCACCAAGGCGACGAUCCAUAGCCGACCUGAGAGGGUGAGCGGCCACAUUGGGACUGAGACACGGCCCAAACUCCUACGGGAGGCAGCAGUGGGGAAUAUUGCACAAUGGGCGAAAGCCUGAUGCAGCUACGCCGCGUGAGCGAAGAAGUAUUUCGGUAUGUAAAGCUCUAUAAGCAGGGAAGAUAAUGACGGUACCUGACUAAGAAGCACCGGCUAAAUACGUG